This 1002-nucleotide non-coding RNA is filed under the name Arripis trutta (Australian salmon). Its description in RNAcentral is "12S ribosomal RNA". It matches the Rfam family "Bacterial small subunit ribosomal RNA". The record is from RNAcentral. Lineage: Eukaryota; Metazoa; Chordata; Actinopteri; Scombriformes; Arripidae.
UAAAGGUUUAGUCCUGGCUUUAUUGUCAUCUUUAACCAAACUUACACAUGCAAGUAUCCGCAGCCCUGUGAGGAUGCCCUGACAGUUUUCUGUUGAAAACAAGGAGCUGGCAUCAGGCACUCCAUAUUUAAAGCCCACAACGCCUUGCUCAGCCACACCCCCAAGGGAAUUCAGCAGUGAUAAAUCUUAAGACAUAAGUGAAAACUUGACUUAGUUAUGGUUAAGAGGGCCGGUAAAACUCGUGCCAGCCACCGCGGUUAUACGAGAGGCCCAAGUUGACAGACUGCGGCGUAAAGCGUGGUUAAGACAGAUCAACAACCUAGACCACCUAUAAACCUAAAUAUAGGAUAUCUAAUUAAAACUAUAGCCGAAUGACCUCAAAGCAGUUAUACGCAUAUGAGACCACGAAGCCCCCUUACGAAAGUAGCUCUAACCUAAUCUGACUCCACGAAAGCUGAGAUACAAACUGGGAUUAGAUACCCCAUUAUGCUUAGCUGUAAACACUGAUAGAAAAACACUUAACCUAUCCGCCCGGGUACUACGAGCUUCAGCUUGAAACCCAAAGGACUUGGCGGUACUUUAGACCCACCUAGAGGAGCCUGUUCUAUAAUUGAUAAUCCCCGUUCAACCUCACCCUCCCUUGCUAAACCCGUCUAUAUACCGCCGUCGUAAGCUUACCCUCUGAGGGACUUAUAGUAAGCAGAAUUGGUACAACCCAGAACGUCAGGUCAAGGUGUAGCGCAUGGGAGGGGAAGAGAUGGGCUACAUUCACUAAGUUCUAGUGAAUCACGGAAGGUGUCAUGAAAACCACACUCUCAAAGGAGGAUUUAGUAGUAAGCAGGAAAUAGAGUGUCCUGCUGAAGCUGGCUCUAAAGUGCGCACAUACCGCCCGUCACUCUCCCUGAAAAUAUCACCCCACCUACCUCAAGAUGCCGAAAAUUUCAUUAAGGGAGACAAGUCGUAACAUGGUAAGUGUACCGGAAGGUGCACUUGGAAAAAUAU